RNAcentral lists this unclassified non-coding RNA (244 nucleotides) under Calycina ellisii. Its description in RNAcentral is "sequence contains 5.8S rRNA gene". The stretch from base 1 to 53 matches the Rfam family "5.8S ribosomal RNA", at positions 102 to 154 of the family's 154-position model. The record is from RNAcentral. Lineage: Eukaryota; Fungi; Ascomycota; Leotiomycetes; Helotiales; Pezizellaceae.
GAACGCACAUUGCGCCCCUUGGUAUUCCGGGGGGCAUGCCUGUUCGAGCGUCAUUUCAACCCUCAAGCUCUGCUUGGUCUUGGGCCGCGCCGGCAACGGCGGGCCUCAAAAACAGUGGCGGCGCCAUCGUGUUCCUCAGCGUAGUAAUUCUUCUCGCUGUUGGGCCCCGGUGGCCGCUGGCCAGCAACCCCCAAUUUUUCUAUGGUUGACCUCGGAUCAGGUAGGGAUACCCGCUGAACUUAAG